CAGCCGCCGCGGUAAUACGAAGGGGGCUAGCGUUGCUCGGAAUGACUGGGCGUAAAGGGCGCGUAGGCGGAUGGCACAGUCAGAUGUGAAAUUCCCGGGCUUAACCUGGGGGCUGCAUUUGAUACGUGUUGUCUAGAGUGAGGAAGAGGGUUGUGGAAUUCCCAGUGUAGAGGUGAAAUUCGUAGAUAUUGGGAAGAACACCGGUGGCGAAGGUGGCAACCUGGUCCUUGACUGACGCUGAGGCGCGAAAGCGUGGGGAGCAAACAGGAUUAGAUACCCCCGUAGUCCCUGUCUCUUAUAA
RNAcentral lists this ribosomal RNA (301 nucleotides) under uncultured bacterium. RNAcentral describes it as "partial 16S ribosomal RNA". It matches the Rfam family "Bacterial small subunit ribosomal RNA", at positions 509 to 809 of the family's 1533-position model. The record is from RNAcentral.